AGGUAGGUACGUACUUUCGCGAAAUGUAUAUACAUAUAUAUACAUAUAUAUAUAUACUUACGUCACGUGUAUACUCCGUCGCGGCGCAAGAGAUAGGGGAUUUAACAAUCGGCGACGGAAUUGCGUAAUUCCGUUGCACACGAGACGGCGAUUUUAUUUUCUUUACUUUUCUUUUCGUUAGCUCGACGGCGAUGCACACGGCCUUGGCGGCUCAUCGGCAUCGGAAUCAGCGUGCAAGGGGAGGACGUUUGGGGGUGGUCGUGGGAUAGAUAGGGGGGUGUUUAGCCGAAGGUAGGGAGCCAGCCAAAAUAACUGACGAUCGAUAAGUGCAAAGGGGUCCGUCCGUCCACCCCUUCUUUCGUAGCCGACCCUUAUUUCCCCUACUAUUUUCUCUUUCCUCUUCUUACGUACGUACGUAACACAACGUAGCUCGACCACCGCCAUUUCUAUUCCCCACUUCCACUUCCAUUUCAACCUCCGCGCUUUAACUGCACCCCCGCAGACGUCUGUAUAACGGAUUCUUCGCUAGGCGCGUCGACUGCGUUAAGGUCGUUGCUGCUGCUGCUGCUGCUGCGAGGGGUGGCGAAGAGGCGAGGGACCGGAAUAUUUAUUCCGUGCUUUGGGGCAGUCCCCUCUUUAUUUUAUAUGGGCUGCUGCUGCUGUUGCUGUUGCUGUCGCGCGGUACGAUACGAUCUAUAAUUUUUAUAUAGGGUCACUGUAUUGCCCUAGCAACACGGUAUAGGUACGAUACGUGUAUCCACCCUUAUGGGAUACAUGCAGCUAAGCCAAAUUGCACGGUAUUUUCCUCACCUCGACGACUACGAUUUCGAGUUUGAGAAAGUUGGACGAUUGGAGGUAGAGGGGAGGGAAUUGCCUAUUUGUUUCUGUGUUUCAGGAUGUAUCAUUACACCCCCUACCCCAAGCUUUCGUUUCGGUUUCGCGACCCCGUAAAAAUACCACGCUAUACACGCGCACGUACGUUACGCAAUAUCGCGGUUGAAUCUUGAGGACCCUCAGAAAUUUAUCAGUUUUGAUUUAUUCCGUCUUUCUCAUUUCCCCCCGUUUAUAACACAGAAGUAAGCGCGACACCCCGAAACAAUAUACAUAUAUAAGUUGCGGUUCGCGUAUAAAUACACGUACAAUAUAUCAACUCGCGGGCGCGUGCAUGCGAAAAAAAAAAAAUAAAAAAGAAUAAGGGAAAUCGAGGGGAGUGCCGAAAAUAAACGUUGUUAAGGGUUAAGGUGAAAGAAAGACAAAAAAAAAAAGAGAGGGAAGGGAAGGGAAGGAAAAGUAAAAAGUGUGGGAGGGUAAAAAAAGCGCGUGGAGAAUUAACUCGACGGAUCGUUGCCCGUUGGUACGUACGUACGUACACCGUAUCAAGCGACUUUGCAGUGGUCGCCAACGACCCUACAGACGACAGGGCGUCACCUUAUAGCUCGUUCUUACGGCGCCCGUCGUCCCGACGCGUCGCUUUCGAGACUGCAACUCUCUCGGAAGAUUUACGGGCAUUUUUUAGGUACGUGGCGAACUGGCAACCAAAACAAUUUUUAGAAAACUUUUCCACCUUAAUUCCCUAUCUUACCCGUCACAGAACUUUUACGCGAAACUUUCUCGCAACUCUUUGUAAAUUAAUCCUCCUGUUUUUCUCUCCUGGUCUUGAAAUAAGACCGAUUACACUUAUAUAUACGAACCCAACGUGUUGUAUAUAGUCCUUUCAUCUCGAAUCUGAUAAUUUAUUUAUAUUUCCGAGGAAAAGAAAGAGGAUCUCCUUUACUCGGUUUUACUUCUUUUAUUUUCAUAUUCCCAGGACAACCCUUCGGGAUGUAGGGGGGGAAGAAUCGCGUUCUUGAAACAUGGCGGAGGAAAUUGACUCGGCAGGGCCCCUCCGCGAGUUUCAGGCCUAGCAAAUUUUUGGGUUCUAGUUAAAUACGAGCGGAUGAUAAUCCUUACGCCGGCUGAAUACACGCGGUGACAUAUUAUUUUCCAUGUAAUACAACGACGUGAAAAAGCUCGCUGUGCAGGCGACGUGUCUGAGCUGCCUUGAGAUAUAAUAUACACGAGUAGCGGAUAUAAACUUUGGCGCCGGUCGAGUGAAUCACAUGUCGCGAAAUAUAAUGUGUAACGAACGCGAAACGAAUGAAAAAAGAGAAAAAAAAAAAAAAAAAUAACAAUAAGAUAAAAGUCGUUUUCCACAUCCGUCAGAUAAACAGUUAUUCGUGUAUUGAAAUAAUUAAUCAUCUUAUGAAUUAAGGAUCUAUAGCACCACAGAAAAAUUCUCAGGCAAGCAUGACUUGAUGUGGAAAGCUCAAUAGUGAAAAAGAAAUGUAUAUAUGAUUUUUAAAUAUGUUUAUAAAAUUCAAGAGAAUGAAUUUAUUAUAUAAACACUAUAUUUGAAAGCGGCAUAUGCAGGCCAUUGCGUUGCACUUCGGGAUACUAUCGAGUGGCAUUCCAUACCUAAAUGCGAGGCAAGAAAAAGAGAAAAAAAACUAAAAAAACUAGAAAACUAAAAAAAACAGUAGGUAACACAGAAAGAAAAAAGUUAUCUCUUUACCUUGUGUAAAAUACGACGAGUCCUUAAAGUGGACUCGCCGCACAAACGAGUGGGCAUUACAGAUAUUGGUUUUCAACGUUGUGAGUCUAGGGUUCGUUGAAAAACAAAAAAAGAGACGGACAAUUUCUACGCAUAGGAAAGAUGUGUAACAUAUCGGGUGGGCGUGCGAAAAAUAUAUAGAUUUGUAAAUUGCUUUUGGCCCGCACAUCGUGCAUAGGUAAUCCUCUCGUACGUAAUAAUUACGUAUUAAUUACGCAAAGUAACGAUAUUACACAGUAGAUACGAAAUUAGACCGAACGCUAGCGAGAAAAUAGAGGACACCGGGUAUUUUUGAACAACGUAUAUAUAUAUGUACACAACAGGCCUCGUCCAGGUGUUGGAGUUUUGGCUGUUAAAUGAUGUUUUCUCUUUGGCUUCGCGGACCACCCACGGACCAACUCGCGUACCAAUGACUCGUAUAAUCUCCCAUAGGUGUAGUCGAAAGAAGACGCGAAAUUAUCGUAGAACUUAGUAGAGGUGUUUGAGAUCCAAUCGAACAAUAAUUUUGUAAGUUUAAAACGCAACAAGUUGCGUAGCGCUGUUGCGAGUUAAAUGACUCGACACUAUAGGAUAUAGUGUGUGACGGAAAAAUUAAAUCCGCCCGCGGAAAUCGCGUGCCACAGGGGAGAUCCGGAAAACACAUACGUAACUUUAAGAAGCGGAUCGCGCGCUGUGUUUCAUCGGAUAAAUUUAGGUAGGUCAAGUGCUGCUGCUGCUGCUGCUGCUGCUGUUGCUUCGGCUUCUGCUCUGUGUGACGAAGAAAAUUAACCAGAGUCGAACAGGUGUUUCUGGCGCACGCUGUACAUGUGUAUAUACGUAGGGAAAUCACCGAACGCAUGCGCCAAAAUUGUGGCACGUGUCGCCGAAGACAAACGUCAGGAAGAACACGAGGACGCGACAGACAGCGGGGUGUAAUAUUUCUGGACGAACUCGAGAUACGCGACUUUUCAACCCCGCCCGCCCUUAAAGCGAUGUCCACACGAGAGACUGCGGAAAAUAGGGACUGAAAAGAGAAAGAAAAUGGGCGUUGGGCUUAUUUGCAUUCUGAUUCACUUGAUCCUCGAGUGUCCGUACGGUGUGAGAAAAUAGAAAAUCGAUCUGAGAAUAAGAAAAAAAAUCGUUAAAAAUCGAGGCCACAAAUUGUAGGCCGCUGAAUUAGAGAGGAUGUAAAUUUUUUCUGAACCGUAUCAUAACACACCUAUAAUUUGACAGACUUGCGACUUUUUUUUUUUUUCGUUCUAAUUUUUUUAAAUCUUUUUUUUUUUCUAUUUUACAUAACCACCGGGUUCGUGCGACGCGAUAACUCUUCCCUGUACCCCGUUCAACAUUUUUUGUAAUAUAGAUACUUCCGUUCGGAGCCAUUAAAGUUAGAAAAAUGAAAGAGAGGAAGGACCAAAAAGAAAAAAAAAAAAACAAAAAAAAUGGGAUAGCUGGUCGCGAGUGGACGGUAGAAAUAUUUUACGAACCUAAACGCUACCCUUCGGUAGAACCUCUGUAUACCAGCUAUGAGCUCAGAUUUCACGAUUGCUGUUUUAUUUUUCAAGUUUUUUUUUUUUUUUUUCUUUUUUUCUCAAUAUUUCUGAUGCGCAUCGUGAAUACCGUAAUCAUAGAGUAGGCCGAUAAAUCAUAUGGGCGCGCGCCCUCGGGCUGUUUUAAGUAUUACGUAUUAUUACUACCUGUUUCGCAAUUAUUAGUAACCUAUAGGAAUAUGUACGCGAUCGAGAAAAACAAAUCUUUUGUACAGAAGCGAAAAUUAAAAAUCAGUUCCGGUAAUCAUUUUAUCGGAUUCUCAUUGUCCGUUGUGAGAGCACCUUAAUUUGUGCGAUUCGAAGUUGCGCUUGGUCAGAGGUGAGGUAAGCCGCCGGUUGAUAUAGUCCAGAAAAAGCACCGACGCUGCGAGCUACAGGCGACGCGACGUGCGCCGUCACGAAAGACGACGUUGGAGCGUCGCGUCCCUGUGGAUAAUAUGUAAUGUAUAAUAAGCUUUGCGCCUCUUUAGAAAUUCGAUAUCGUACACGAGACGAGAAAUGUAAAAAUGACGGAGAAAAUCUUCCUCGUUUUUCGGAGAAGGCGGGCGAACGGGUUUUUCUGCAGUUGAACGACCUCAGUUUCAUUUUUUCUAUACCCUUUCUUCGCUAAUGAAAAUUCGCGGAAUUUGCGUACAUUGAAAUUUGGAAACAUUGUGAACCGAAACGCGAGAAGCGAGAAACGAUCGCGUAACCAGCGACGAUUUUCAAAUUUAUUUCCAGUGCUUUUUUUUGCUUCGGUUGAAUUUUUACACACAGGUAUACCUAUAUACGUAUACACCGCUGCGCCGAUUUCCCAGACAAAGUGGCAUCAGCCCCAACCGCAAUUAUAGUUGGCUUAAAAUAACCCCAACGCGGUUCUUGCAGCGGGCAGUCGACCACCGCGAAGUUCGUCACUUCGACGCUGGCAUAUUGAAUACAAAAAAAAAAAUAGAUGGAAAAUACCGAAAAGUUGAAGCGAAGACAAUACGAAAAACUUGGAGAAUGAAAUUGGCUUUCCUCCCAUCGCUGGAGAGCUUUCCUAAAAAAAAGAAAAAAAAAAAACCCUCUUCGCUAAAUUCGGUCGGUACAGUUGACGUUUCUCUUAUAUUUAUAUUCUGAAAAGUCUUUGGGAGUUUUAAUUUUGUUUCAGUUACGUAAAUCGUUGAUCUACAACCGUUUUUACGUGCGUAUAAUACUUUCUUUUUAGUUUUAUUAGAACUCGGGAAGUUUCGGUGACCGUAUUUAAUAUUUUAGCAAUAUAUCCAACGAUCAGAGACUAGCCGGUGUGUGGUGUUGGCAGUAGAAUCUUAGUUGCCAGAAUCAACGCGGCGCGGGCUGGGGGUUGGAAAUUUGCCAAAUAGGAUAGCCGCCUGGUAAAAGGGUGACGCGUGGCUGAGAUAGAUCUUUCGUGAACCACUGGAAAGCACAUCUUGACUCUCGCAAGCUUAAGAAACUCACGCAGCGACUUCAAGGUCCGUCCAGGUCCGCGUACGGACGAGGAGAAAUAUAAAUUCUUACGUCAUUCCUGCAUGUUGACCCCAAACGCCUUCCUUUUUUUCCUUCAUUUUCCUAUUUAUUUUUUCUUCGUAGACAAUUUCUUAUUUAUUUAUUUUUUCUCUCAUGCACGACGGACGUGUGCAUCGGUCGAUAAUUGACAAUGAUGCAUGUCCGCACAUGCCUAUAUACCUAGGUAAAUUAAACCAGAAGCGGAAAACUUUAAACAAUCCAUUACCGACAUUCUUGCGGGCGAAGGUCGUCGGCGAUUCGCGUAUUGCAACAAAUAAUUAUUUACAAUUAUCGUUAAAUGAUUAAGGUGGCUUUGUCCCCUCGGGGAUAAGUAUAUCCUAUUAUUUAUUGGAAAACAGAAAUUGAAUUAAAAAUAGAAUACCUUUACCAUAUGUAUGGAAUUUCCUGGAAAUUUGUCGUACGUGCAAACCAUAGUUCGUGUAUUAUAUAUACAUAGAUAAUUUGAUGAGAAAAUUCCUAGAUAAUUAUUUCGUCGGUGAAUUCAUCGGGAUAAAUUAUUCAUGUAGUUCGUGGUUAUACAUCUAUAGAGUCUGGUGUACGCAGACGUUCGCGUUUUACAUACCUAUAUCGUACCUAGUAUAUGUAUGUAUAUUGUACAUAAGUAAAACGAUACAAACCGUCCCAACGUCGCAACGUAACGACGAACCGAGCAAAUGGUACAAACACCUGAGCUAACAGAGUUCUAUCGACCAACGCUUUAAAGGCGUCUGUCUAAUCUUUGUUCUCUCUUUUUUAUCUGUUUCUUUUUUUUUCUUUCAAGUUUCCCCUUCCAUUUAUGAGCUUGUAGUUCCUCUCGCGCGACUCCGAUUCCCAUUGUUCGCCGACAUUACAUCCAUUUCAAAUAGGUACUUGCUAAAACCAGCUCACCUCACUUUCCGCGUGUGUCCUGCAACUUUCAGGGACGCGAGUUUUUCACGAUUGCAAAUUUUUUCCGGAUACGAACCGCGUGCACAUACCUACGUACACUGCGGAUAGAACAAAAAACCGGUCUAACGCAAGACGUACGCUUCGAAAUUGUUUUUCAAUAAUUUGUCGCAUUGCGAAAAAAAAAAAAUGCGUCGAAAUGCGGCGUCGUUUACUUGAAUUCGAUUCGAGUUUCGAUUUUAUCGCAAUGCAAAUUUUAACGUCGCGCGAUAAGUUCGUCCCUGGGCAUGCAUCGGCCACGUGCAGCGCUAGACCACCUGCAACAGUAGCCGAUGUUUUAGUACAGUAAGUUCAACUUCAGCAGCUCCAGCUUUAGCUGUAGCAAAAGCAGCGGCGGAUCUUUGUUGCAGGCGCAAUAAGUGCAGCAUGUAACCGUUGCCAACACCGCGUGCGAGUCAAAUUCCAAAGAAAACAAGUUAGCGUUGUGCCAACUGGAGAUCGCCGGGGACGGGGACAGGGACGAAACGGAAUUGGCAAGGUGUUCCGAAAUGCAAUGUUUGCCUGGAAAUAUGGAGAACCGGUCCAGAGCCCGCUAUCUCUCGCUUGUUGCAAGGAUGCUGCGAGGGUAUAUGGGUAUAGGUAUAGAAUAAUGCCGUAUGGGACGAGAAACGGGACGAGCCGAUGGCCGGUGGUGUUUGGCUGCGAACCAAAAAUUCUGACACUGACUGAUAUACAAUCGCGCGGAACGCCUAACUGCCAUACUGCAAAACAGCGCGAAGCUUUGUGUAAUAAUAUCGUUUCUAUUCCCUCCCUCUUCUAAAAGUCUACUUUUUUCCAUUUUUUUUUUAUUUUUGAACAAUUUUUUUUCCCCUUAUGAUUUAUGAUACGCGUUCCAUCAACUUCGAUAUCAAAGAAAUAUCCGCAACACGUGCGCCACGCGCGUUUCGCGCACACUUUCGUACGCCUCGAAUUUUUCAACGGAUUUUCAAAAACGUACCAAUGGCGAAUCGAAAAAUUUUAUUUCAUUUUUAUCUUUCGAUAUGGAGGUAUGUGAUCAGAAGUUUAGAGAGAACGUUCCAAGGAGAUCCAUCAACGAUUUUAUCUCCCUGAAAAAGUCGAGGCUGGAAAAAAGUUUUUUUAACCACCCCGAUAUUCUUCUUCCCAGAAACUAUCAAUCUGGUGUCCGUGGACACAAAACAUACCGAAAUCCUUGACCGAAAGCAUCCGACGUUCCAUGGUAUGCGCGGGUUACUUGUGUACAGUUUAUGGUAAAUAACCGGCAUCAUUCAUUAAAAUAUAAUAUGGAAUAAGAAUGAAAUCUCUCCGGUUGUCCAUCAGUCUUUCCCUCCUAUAUUUUAUGCUCUAUUAAUAAAGCUCGAAUCUACAUAUAUAUAUACGUAGACGGAAAUAACAUACGGCGCAUACUCCACAUGACGAUGAUCACCAUCAUCAUCAUCAUCAUCAUCAUCACCAUCGUGGAUACGCGACAGCUGGGGGGCUGGCUAGAACGAACGAACAAACGAACGAACGAACGGACGGACGAACGGACGAACGAAUGAACAUCCAUUUGACACGUUGGGCUAUUUGACCCGAAGAGAUCAAGGGUUAUAACGAACCAGCGUAGAAGGUCCUUACAAACACGCGCAUUACAUACACAGUGAUUGCUUCGAUCCACCCGACCGUGGAUCGCUGUGUAUUUCAUAGAUCGCUUUUACGGCUCUUCGUAGUCUGUAGCAUACGUAUCGUCCGUACAACUGUUGCUGCCGCUGCAUGAGCAACAUUAACUUACAGUGAGUCACGAGCACGUGGUACGAGACUGGUAACAAAUUACCACCGACCCAUGGCAUCGGUUCGAAACGUACCGAACAAUAAGGGUUCGGAAGGGUUUCUUGGGAUUCGAAACGAACGAGGAAGUGGGUUACGGUAUUCGUUUUGGAAUAUUUGCGGAACGAGACGAGGAAAGUCCAGAGGCUAACACCAGCCUCGUUUCAACUUCUCCCUCCACGUCUCUGGGGUCCCUCUUGUAACCCGAAUGUUUACGGUGCUCAAGCACGUUUCACCAUAUUUCUACGCAAUCUGACGACCCAGGAAAUCGACAGUUCCACGGACUCGCUUAACAGGACCAGUGCUAACACGACGACGUCGCACCCACCGAUGAGCAUCUCUUCACCUUUAACAGGAAGUGUAUUCACGUUCACCAGUUUUCAAUUUAGACAUUAUUUAUGAUACACAUAUAACGAAUAAUCAAUGACGUAUGGAUAAUUCAUUAUGUCCUCAUGUCUAGUAUUUAUUGAAAUGACUAAUUGUAAAUCAAAAACGUAAUAUUGAAAUGAAAAUACAUCUUGUGAAUGAUAAUGGAACGUUCGUAAUUUAGUCACCGAUAUUGUAACAGAGCAAUUGUUGAAUUUAUCUUUCCUGCGUAAUGUAUCAAUAAACGAACGUUCAUUCUGAA
RNA transcript from Athalia rosae (coleseed sawfly), 8941 nucleotides. RefSeq lists it as uncharacterized. The record is from RefSeq and is a predicted model, not a curated record. The transcript is spliced from 5 exons. NCBI's taxonomy places the organism in Eukaryota, Metazoa, Arthropoda, Insecta, Hymenoptera, Athaliidae.